ACUAAAGGUCAUAAUUAAAAGAAUUGUGAUAUGAUAAUAGCACACAGUAAUAUUAAAUAAAUGAUGCAAAGUACAAAAUAAAACACUGUACAGAGAGCCGAGUUUUCUAAGAUGCACAUGCAUAGGAAAGAAAGAAAUUGGGGGUUAACUGUGGUUAAAUUUUCAGCAUUGUCUACAUUUUCUACAAUGAGCCUGUAUUUUAUGAUCAGGAGGGGAAGGUUAAUAAAAGAGAAAGAUCAUGGCUUGUUCAGAGUGGUGAGACUUUCUUGUGAAGUGUGAAAUGGGUAGUGGGGAAUAAUAGAAUAAGGGUCUGGAGAAGUAAGGUCCCUAUUUUUAUCCAUUGUUAGCAUUUUAUGGUUACGAAGAACCUAAUACCAGGUGAAGGAGUUCAGCAGAGGAAUAUAUAUUUGUGACAUUGUUCUGGCUGGACAGUGGAGGCUGAGCUGGUGAGGGGAGAAAGGAAUCCCGAAGACCAUAUUGGCAGUUUUUUUCAGAGCCCAAGAGAGAGAGUGGGAUUCUGACCCAGCCACUAGAAGGGGGCCAGAGGAGAAGGAAUAGAUGUGAUGUUUUGAAGAUAAAAUGAGCAGACCUUAAGGGACACGGAAGAUCAAGCAGCAAAUUCCCAAGCCAGAAGUCUGGGCCUCUACAUCCUGGUGAGACAUACGACAUGACAAAUGAGGCCAGGCCCAGGUCUGAGAGGCACUGCUUUCCUUGCAGCUCUCUGGAGCUACCCUGUGUUCACAGUGGCUAAUGCCGCUCUGAUGUUGGGAAGGGCUGGAGACAAGGGAGGAGACAACCCAACUCCUAGCAGGCUACCUGGCUAUCGUAGGCUACCUUGACACUGACUAGGUUCCCUACUUGUACCAUGUGUGGUUUUCCAGGAUUCCUGUGAUCUCUGGUAUUUUCCCUCCAAGGACUGGGGUUCCCUCAAGGCAAGUCACCUUACUGAACCAAUAGCAAGGUUGUAAUCAUCACUACUGUUAGUUGAGGGGUUCCUGUGUGCCAGGCACCAUACUAAAUGCCAAAUGUGUUAUAUCUCAUUUAAUCCUCACCUGAGGAGGGAAGUUCUCUUAGGCUAUUUGCAAAGCCAGUAGUCCCAGUCAGGAUUAGAACAACUCUGAUGUACAAGUCUGUGCCCCUUUCUCCCAGGUGAACUUCUCAGUGCACCCCCAAGGACUCCUCUCCACAUGUAAGAGUUCUUUGUUAAAUUCAAAGAGCAGUUCUUGCCUGUAGUAAAAAGGUCAGUGGUGCAAAAGCAUACAGAGAGAUGUGAGACUCCCUCCCAGUCCACACAACCAGUCUCCUACCCCAGGGGUAGCUAUUUUUAAAUGUUUUGAUCUUUCCUCAAGAUAGUCCCAGCAUUUACAACCUUAUGUAUCCCCCUUAAAGAAACACAAAAAAACAAAUGAGAAGCUUAGGAUACACAGUCUACACCUUGCUUUUUUCAGUGUCUUGGAGAUGGCUUUCUAUUAGCCUGUAAGAUCUACCUCAUUUUUUUCACUGCUUGGUGAUAUCCGUUGUAUGAAUGUACCAUAAUUCAUACGGUCCCCCUGUUGUUGGGCCUCUAGGUUCUUUUCUGCCUUUUGCUAUUACAAACAGUACUGUGCCAAAUAUCCCCGCACGCUGUCCUUGGAUAAAUUGAUGAAAUUAAAUAGUAGGUGCAUUUGUUAUUUUGAUAGAAAUUAGAAAUGUAGUUCCCAGUGUGUGUAUGAAAAUGCCCAUUCCCCUGAAUCCUCUGGAACUAUUGUGUUGUUUCUGAUCUCAUAAAUGAAAAAUGCUCUCAUAUUUUAAUUUGCAUUCAACUAUGAGUGAAACUGGGUACCAUAGCCCAUGUUUAAAAGCCACGUGUAUUUAUUUUCUGUGACUUGCUUAUUUGCGUUCUUUAGCAGUUUUUCUGUUCAUCCUUUUAAUAAUCAAUUUGUACAAACUAUAAAGAAAUUAUCCUUAUCUGCUA
Molecule: long non-coding RNA, 1954 nt
Filed under: Pongo abelii (Sumatran orangutan)
Lineage: Eukaryota; Metazoa; Chordata; Mammalia; Primates; Hominidae
Description: lincRNA
Source: RNAcentral